UACAGAGGGGGCAAGCGUUGUUCGGAAUUACUGGGCGUAAAGGGCGCGUAGGCGGCCUGCUAAGUCGAACGUGAAAUCCCCGGGCUCAACCCGGGAACUGCGUCCGAGACUGGCGGGCUUGAAUUCGGGAGAGGGAUGCGGAAUUCCAGGUGUAGUGGUGAUAUGCGUAGAUAUCGGGAGGAACACCUGUGGCGAAGGCGGCUUUCUGGGCCUUACCUGACGCUGAGACGCGAAAGCGUGGGGAGCGAACCGG
RNAcentral lists this ribosomal RNA (253 nucleotides) under uncultured bacterium. Its description in RNAcentral is "partial 16S ribosomal RNA". It matches the Rfam family "Bacterial small subunit ribosomal RNA", at positions 524 to 776 of the family's 1533-position model. The record is from RNAcentral.